RNAcentral lists this ribosomal RNA (360 nucleotides) under uncultured bacterium. RNAcentral's name for it is "bacterial SSU rRNA". It matches the Rfam family "Bacterial small subunit ribosomal RNA", at positions 28 to 380 of the family's 1533-position model. The record is from RNAcentral.
GACGAACGCUGGCGGCGUGCCUAACACAUGCAAGUUGAGCGACGAACCAGGGCUUGCCCUGGGGCAUAGCAGCGAACGGGUGAGUAACACGUGGGUAACCUGCCCCGAUGACCGGGAUAACCCGAGGAAACUCGGGCUAAUACCGGAUGUGUCAUACCGGCUCAAGCCGGCAUGGCAAAGGAAGCUUCGGCCUCCGCUUCGGGAGGGGCCCGCGGCCCAUUAGCUUGUUGGUGAGGUAAAGGCNCACCAAGGCAACAAUGGGUAGCUGGUCUGAGAGGACGAUCAGCCGCACUGGGACUGAGACACGGCCCAGACUCCUACGGGAGGCAGCGAGUGGGGAAUCUUGCGCAAUGCGCGAAA